CCUACGGGUGGCAGCAGUGGGGAAUAUUGGGCAAUGGGCGCAAGCCUGACCCAGCAACGCCGCGUGAAGGAAGAAGGCUUUCGGGUUGUAAACUUCUUUUAAGAGGGAAGAGCAGAAGACGGUACCUCUUGAAUAAGCCACGGCUAACGACGGGCCAGCAGCCGCGGUAAUACGUAGGUGGCAAGCGUUGUCCGGAUUUACUGGGUGUAAAGGGCGUGCAGCCGGGAAGACAAGUCAGAUGUGAAAUCCCGCGGCUCAACCGCGGAACUGCGUUUGAAACUGUUUUUCUUGAGUACCGGAGAGGUCAUCGCACUUCCUUGUGUAGCGGUGAACUGCGUAGAUCUCAGGCAGAACCCCAGUGGCGACGGCGGCUGACUGGACGGCAACUGACGGUGAGGCGCGAACGCGUGGGGAGCAAACCGGCUUAGAUACCCUUGUAGUC
Molecule: ribosomal RNA, 442 nt
Filed under: uncultured bacterium
Lineage: Bacteria
Description: partial 16S ribosomal RNA
Rfam family: Bacterial small subunit ribosomal RNA
Source: RNAcentral